ACAUCGGUAGCACAGUGGUUAGUGCAGUCUGCCGGUAAUAGAAAGACGCGGGUUCAAUUCCCGUCCGAUGUC
Molecule: non-coding RNA, 72 nt
Organism: Nippostrongylus brasiliensis
Lineage: Eukaryota; Metazoa; Nematoda; Chromadorea; Rhabditida; Heligmosomidae
Source: Rfam